RNAcentral lists this ribosomal RNA (253 nucleotides) under uncultured bacterium. RNAcentral describes it as "partial 16S ribosomal RNA". It matches the Rfam family "Bacterial small subunit ribosomal RNA", at positions 524 to 776 of the family's 1533-position model. The record is from RNAcentral.
UACGUAGGGGGCAAGCGUUAUCCGGAAUCAUUGGGCGUAAAGCGCGUGUAGGCGGUUCCGUAAGUCCGCUCUGAAAGCCCAGGGCUCAACCCUGGGAGGCGGGUGGAUACUACGGAACUGGAGUACGGAAGAGGAGAUUGGAAUUCCUGGUGUAGCGGUGAAAUGCGCAGAUAUCAGGAGGAACACCGGUGGCGAAGGCGGUGGGCUGGGCCGGAACUGACGCUGAGGAGCGAAAGCGUGGGGAGCGAACAGG